GAUCAUGGCUCAGGAUGAACGCUGGCGGCGUGCUUAACACAUGCAAGUCGAGCGAAGCACUUAGGAAAGAUUCUUCGGAUGAUUUUCUAUUUGACUGAGCGGCGGACGGGUGAGUAACGCGUGGGUAACCUGCCUCAUACAGGGGGAUAACAGUUAGAAAUGACUGCUAAUACCGCAUAAGACCACAGCACCGCAUGGUGUCAGGGGUAAAAAACUCCGGUGGUAUGAGAUGGACCCGCG
This 240-nucleotide ribosomal RNA is filed under the name uncultured bacterium. Its description in RNAcentral is "partial 16S ribosomal RNA". It matches the Rfam family "Bacterial small subunit ribosomal RNA", at positions 15 to 235 of the family's 1533-position model. The record is from RNAcentral.